This 400-nucleotide ribosomal RNA is filed under the name uncultured bacterium. RNAcentral describes it as "bacterial SSU rRNA". It matches the Rfam family "Bacterial small subunit ribosomal RNA", at positions 123 to 541 of the family's 1533-position model. The record is from RNAcentral.
AAUCUACCUUAGUUACAGGGAUAGCCCGAGGAAACUCGGAUUAAUACCUGAUAUUCUUUAUAUUUCGCAUGAAAUUAAAAGGAAAGGUCAGCCGAACUAAGAUGAGCUCGCGUUCUAUCAGCUAGUUGGUGAGGUAAAAGCUCACCAAGGCUACGACGGAUAGCUGGUCUGAGAGGACGAUCAGCCACACUGGGACUGAGACACGGCCCAGACUCCUACGGGAGGCUGCAGCAGGGAAUAUUGCGCAAUGAGCGAAAGCUUGACGCAGCGACACCGCGUGUGGGAUGACGGAUCUAGGUUUGUAAACCACUUUCAGGAGGGAAGAAAAUGACGGUACCUCCACAAGAAGCCCCGGCCAACUACGUGCCAGCAGCCGCGGUAAUACGUAAGGGGCGAGCGU